AACGAACGCUGGCGGCGUGGAUAAGACAUGCAAGUCGAACGGAUUUUCCGCUGUAGCAAUACAGUGGGGAGUCAGUGGCGCAAGGGUGCGUAACACGUGGGCAACCUGCCCUGGAGUCUGGAAUAGCCCGCCGAAAGGCGGAUUAAUCCCGGAUGCGGCUACUCAACGAGUGUUGGGGACGCUAAAGGUGGCGCAAGCUGCCGCUCCUGGAUGGGCCCGCGGCCUAUCAGCUAGUUGGUGAGGUAACGGCCCACCAAGGCUAUGACGGGUAGCUGGUCUGAGAGGACGACCAGCCACACUGGAACUGAGACACGGGCCCGACUCCUACGGGAGGCAGCAGUAAGGAAUAUUGGUCAAUGGACGCAAGUCUGAACCAGCCAUGCCGCGUGAAGGAUGAAGGUCCUCUGGAUUGUAAACUUCUUUUAUCUGGGACGAAACACUCUUAUUCUUAAGAGCUUGACGGUACCAGAAGGAAUAAGCACCGGCUAACUCCGUGCCAGCC
RNAcentral lists this ribosomal RNA (502 nucleotides) under uncultured bacterium. RNAcentral's name for it is "bacterial SSU rRNA". It matches the Rfam family "Bacterial small subunit ribosomal RNA", at positions 29 to 513 of the family's 1533-position model. The record is from RNAcentral.